GACGAACGCUGGCGGCGUGCCUAAUACAUGCAAGUCGUGCGGACCUUUUAAAAGCUUGCUUUUAAAAGGUUAGCGGCGGACGGGUGAGUAACACGUGGGCAACCUGCCUGUAAGACUGGGAUAACGCCGGGAAACCGGGGCUAAUACCAGAUCGUUUUUUCCUCCGCAUGGAGGAAAAAGGAAAGGCGGCUUCGGCUGCCACUUACAGAUGGGCCCGCGGCGCAUUAGCUAGUUGGCGGGGUAACGGCCCACCAAGGCAACGAUGCGUAGCCGACCUGAGAGGGGGAGCGGCAACAUGGGAAGUGGGACACGGCCAAACCCCCUAGGGGGGGCAGAAGAGGGGAAUCUCCGGCAAGGGCGGAAAGUCGGAGGGAGAACCGCGGGGGGAGGGAAGAGGGCCGUCGGGUCGAAAACCUCGGUUGCGGGGGAAGAAAAAGGGCCGUGCGAACGGGGCGGCGCCUUGACGGUCCCGGGAAAGAAAGCCACGGAAAACUACGUG
RNAcentral lists this ribosomal RNA (499 nucleotides) under uncultured bacterium. RNAcentral's name for it is "partial 16S ribosomal RNA". It matches the Rfam family "Bacterial small subunit ribosomal RNA", at positions 28 to 507 of the family's 1533-position model. The record is from RNAcentral.